CACCGGUGGGGACAAAAGUUGGUGCUUCAAAAUCUUUUUUUAUCUUUGAUGGGAAGAAAGGAGGGCUUGACGCCUGGCACUACUGUCUGUGGGGGCCACCGCCACUUGGUCGGAUGUCCCCAUAGUAGGGAAGAAGGAGAGCACAGCGGUCGGAACUGUUGCUCCUUUCGAUUUUCUUUUUUUUUGUGUGUUUGGAUCUAUUGAUUCAUAUGAAAAUUAAUGGCCCUCGAUCGCCACCUCAUCCCAGUCGCCGUUUGUCGAACACUAUCAGUGGGUCUCCGGUUAUCACUUUGCCAAAUGGCAAGGCACCAUUAGCCGUGGAA
This 323-nucleotide long non-coding RNA is filed under the name Elaeis guineensis (African oil palm). Its description in RNAcentral is "long non-coding RNA (EGUI_LNC054069)". Lineage: Eukaryota; Viridiplantae; Streptophyta; Magnoliopsida; Arecales; Arecaceae. The record is from RNAcentral.